Molecule: ribosomal RNA, 497 nt
Filed under: uncultured bacterium
Lineage: Bacteria
Description: bacterial SSU rRNA
Rfam family: Bacterial small subunit ribosomal RNA
Source: RNAcentral
GAUCAUGGCUCAGGAUGAACGCUGGCGGCGUGCCUAACACAUGCAAGUCGAGCGGAGAUAUAGAGAGAUUCUUCGGAUACUUCUUAUCUUAGCGGCGGAUGGGUGAGUAACACGUGGGUAACCUGCCCUGCACAGGGGGAUAACAGCUGGAAACGGCUGUUAAUACCGCAUAUGCACACGCUGCCGCAUGGCAGAGGGUGGAAAGAUUUAUCGGUGCAGGAUGGGCCCGCGUCGGAUUAACUAGUUGGCAGGGUAACGGCCUACCAAGGUUAUGAUCCGUAGCCGACCUGAGAGGGUGACCGGCCACAUUGGGACUGAGACACGGCCCAAACUCCUACGGGAGGCAGCAGUGGGGGAUAUUGCACAAUGGGCGAAAGCCCUGAUGCAGCGACGCCGCGUGAAGGAAGAAGUAUUUCGGUAUGUAAACUUCUAUCAGCGGGGAAGAAGAUGACGGUACCCGACUAAGAAGCCCCGGCUAACUACGUGCCAGCCGCCGC